GACGAACGCUGGCGGCGUGCCUAAUACAUGCAAGUAGAACGCUGAAGGAGGAGCUUGCUUCUCCGGAUGAGUUGCGAACGGGUGAGUAACGCGUAGGUAACCUGCCUGGUAGCGGGGGAUAACUAUUGGAAACGAUAGCUAAUACCGCAUAAUAGUAGAUGUUGCAUGACAUUUGCUUAAAAGGUGCAAUUGCAUCACUACCAGAUGGACCUGCGUUGUAUUAGCUAGUUGGUGGGGUAACGGCUCACCAAGGCGACGAUACAUAGCCGACCUGAGAGGGUGAUCGGCCACACUGGGACUGAGACACGGCCCAGACUCCUACGGGAGGCAGCAGUAGGGAAUCCUCGGCAAUGGACGGAAGUCUGACCGAGCAACGCCGCGUGAGUGAAGAAGGUUUUCGGAUCGUAAAGCUCUGUUGUAAGAGAAGAACGAGUGUGAGAGUGGAAAGUUCACACUGUGACG
This 462-nucleotide ribosomal RNA is filed under the name Streptococcus mitis. RNAcentral's name for it is "bacterial SSU rRNA". It matches the Rfam family "Bacterial small subunit ribosomal RNA", at positions 28 to 474 of the family's 1533-position model. Lineage: Bacteria; Bacillati; Bacillota; Bacilli; Lactobacillales; Streptococcaceae. The record is from RNAcentral.